Molecule: transfer RNA, 66 nt
Filed under: Pachycephus smyrnensis
Lineage: Eukaryota; Metazoa; Arthropoda; Insecta; Hymenoptera; Cephidae
Description: tRNA-Arg
Source: RNAcentral
UUUUAUAUAGUAUAUUUUUUAAAUAUUUUCAAUUUCGACUUGAAAGAAAAUAAGUAAUUUAUUUAU